CCUACGGGUGGCUGCAGUGGGGAAUAUUGGACAAUGGGCGAAAGCCUGAUCCAGCCAUGCCGCGUGUGUGAAGAAGGCCUUCGGGUUGUAAAGCACUUUCAGUGGGGAAGAAAGCCUUGGGGCUAAUACCCUCGAGGAAGGACAUCACCCACAGAAGAAGCACCGGCUAACUCCGUGCCAGCAGCCGCGGUAAUACGGAGGGUGCGAGCGUUAAUCGGAAUUACUGGGCGUAAAGCGCGCGUAGGCGGUCUGAUAAGCCGGUUGUGAAAGCCCCGGGCUCAACCUGGGAACGGCAUCCGGAACUGUCAGGCUAGAGUGCAGGAGAGGAAGGUAGAAUUCCCGGUGUAGCGGUGAAAUGCGUAGAGAUCGGGAGGAAUACCAGUGGCGAAGGCGGCCUUCUGGACUGACACUGACGCUGAGGUGCGAAAGCGUGGGUAGCAAACAGGAUUAGAUACCCUGGUGUC
This 464-nucleotide ribosomal RNA is filed under the name Vreelandella stevensii. Its description in RNAcentral is "partial 16S ribosomal RNA". It matches the Rfam family "Bacterial small subunit ribosomal RNA", at positions 338 to 795 of the family's 1533-position model. Lineage: Bacteria; Pseudomonadati; Pseudomonadota; Gammaproteobacteria; Oceanospirillales; Halomonadaceae. The record is from RNAcentral.